AUUGGUAGAGGCGCGGUAUUUAAGAGUGGUCGGCGUUCAGUCGCGGGCAAGCGAGCCGUCUUAAAGGAAAUAUCGCCGAAAUGCGCGGGGCAUUGCCUUGACCCGUGUGUUGGGACGCAGCAGAAUAUGUUGCGUACUGUCACUUUUGUGGAGCGCUAUCCGU
Molecule: non-coding RNA, 163 nt
Filed under: human gut metagenome
Description: Lysine riboswitch
Rfam family: Lysine riboswitch aptamer
About the family: Riboswitches are metabolite binding domains within certain messenger RNAs that serve as precision sensors for their corresponding targets. Allosteric rearrangement of mRNA structure is mediated by ligand binding, and this results in modulation of gene expression.
Source: RNAcentral